ACGGGAGGCAGCAGUGGGGAAUAUUGGACGAUGGGGGGAACCCUGAUCCAGCGACGCCGCGUGAGUGAAGAAGUAUUUCGGUAUGUAAAGCUCUUUAAGCAGGGAAGAAAAUGACGGUACCUGCAGAAUAAGCCCCGGCUAACUACGUGCCAGCAGCCGCGGUAAUACGUAGGGGGCAAGCGUUAUCCGGAUUUAUUGGGUUUAAAGGGUGCGUAGGCGGACGCGUAAGUCAGCGGUGAAAUAUCCCGGCUCAACCGGGAGGCUGCCGUUGAUACUGCGCGACUAGAGUCCGAACGGCGCCGGCGGAAUAUGUAAUGUAGCGGUGAAAUGCAUAGAUAUUACAUAGAACACCGAUCGCGAAGGCAGCUGGCGAGGACGGCACUGACGCUGAGGCACGAAGGCGUGGGGAGCAAACAGGAUUAGAUACCCUGGUA
RNAcentral lists this ribosomal RNA (434 nucleotides) under uncultured Lachnoanaerobaculum sp. RNAcentral's name for it is "partial 16S ribosomal RNA". It matches the Rfam family "Bacterial small subunit ribosomal RNA", at positions 341 to 792 of the family's 1533-position model. Lineage: Bacteria; Bacillati; Bacillota; Clostridia; Lachnospirales; Lachnospiraceae. The record is from RNAcentral.